GUAGUUUUGCCUCCUGUGUUGCUCCUGUAUGGACCCUGGACAUCAGUCAUCAGCUUGCAGUGCCUUGGGCAGUCAAUGGACCUUGUUUUCAGCACACAACUUGGAUGCUGCAGGACUACACUUAGUCACAACUGUGCUUGCUGAACCUAUUCACCCAGCAAUGAAUACUCCAGAUGACUUCAAUCUCAAAGGCUCUCCAGGAGAAAGAAGACCAAAAUGGCAUGACUGUAACCUGAUCUGAAAGGCAAGGUCUGUCUGUGCUUGUAAACAAGGUGAUCUCAGACUGGCCAUUUUAAGCGGUGAGUUAAGUGUGGUUCAGUGUUGUGUAUGCUGCAGAAAGCCCUAUAUGAAAUCCCCUAUUCUUUCAUGUGUUUUCAAAAGCCAGUUGAAUGUUAAUCAAGGUAUAAUCUUCCAGCUAGUCCUAGUAAAGGAAGAUUUUUUUAUUUAUUAAUUUAUAUAUCUUUAAAAUCAAUCUAGAUUGCUAAAUACAUGGUAAUAUUUUAAUUAGUGAGGAAAAAAUAACAUAAUUGAAGCAAAUCAGGAUUUCAGUUUUUCAAUGUCUGUACAUUCAGGAAGUGGAACAUAAACAACCCAUGCCAAAUCACUAUCAAUGGAAGACCAAAGUUGUUACUGUUCUGAAUUGACUUCAACUUCAGUUUGUUACAUGCACAGAAAAAAAAAAAAAAAAAAAGUAAUAAAAAGGACUCUUGGAAAAAUAAAAAGGUAGGC
RNAcentral lists this long non-coding RNA (729 nucleotides) under Anser cygnoides (Swan goose). RNAcentral describes it as "lncRNA (ENSACDG00005017158.1)". The record is from RNAcentral. Lineage: Eukaryota; Metazoa; Chordata; Aves; Anseriformes; Anatidae.